Non-coding RNA from Varroa destructor (honeybee mite), 9270 nucleotides. The record is from RefSeq and is a predicted model, not a curated record. Lineage: Eukaryota; Metazoa; Arthropoda; Arachnida; Mesostigmata; Varroidae.
AGUCAACUCGAUACUCGGUGGAUUCUUAAACAGAGCUCACUAUAGGUCUUAGCUCAUUAACGUUGUAGAACUGCUAUAACACGGGUAUUUUACUGCUGAUGCUCAACAUCACUCUUCACCUCGUUUAAAGAAAUCAACUCACGUAACAGCGCUAAAGGAUCGCCGGGCAAGGGGAGAAAAGGGAUCGUCUGCUUUUGCAUAACGAGGCGUUUUCAGGCAGCAAAAAUAUCCCGCAAACAUAGCCGGUCUUCCACGGGGUCGGUUCGUUGGGCCAUUCUUGCGCUUUAAGAUUCUACUCGUGCUUUUCGCACUUUCAGUACCAUCUUGAUCGUAGUUAACAAUCUUUUGAUCAGAUAUACAAUAGAGGAGGGUACACGUGGUUACACUUAGUUGCUUUCCUAGGAGCUGCGUCCAUAUAAUGGCCACCACUUUUUAGUAUAAAGGAGAUUUUUCUUAUGCGUAACGAUAGCAAGAAUACGAAGCAAAAUUUCUUCUAAAAUUGAAUUUCGAGUACGAAUUCCAGGACCUGUCAGAACAACGGCUUAUCUGACAAAAAAACACGUAAUUUUUGUGUUGCGCUGUUAAUUUCGACAACGCUAAAGGUUAAUCCUAAUCUGAAAUUGAUUUUACGAAACGAUAGCAAAGGACCUGUCAUAAGCUGAUUGAGGUUUACUGAUUGAAGAAGUUUGUGUCUUCAUAUGUGCAGUUACUCACAUUUCAAGAAACGGUGGAAAACAGGACAAGGAGUUUGGUGGGAAAGAUGGUAGUAGUCUCCUAGAAAUAUAAAUCCUACAGAUCAUACCUUACCCUCUUACUGAGCAGUGCAAUGGGUAUAAAAAUUGACAGCCGUCAGAGUUGGAUCGUAGCAUUAGCCACUUCCCUGCUGAUGUCGUGUAGUGUCUGGACUUUCCGAUGUGCGGGCCUAAUUUACGUUGCACUUAUUGACCAGUUAGGCGUGAGUGCCGAAAAUGCGUCGUGGCCGAUCGUCAUCUUUUGCGCUGCGUCAUCUGUUUUGGGUCCAGCGGUCGGUGCCGCUAGUAUGUAUGUAUCAAUCCCCACCUUAUUCAUAUUUUCCUCGUGCUCAGGUACACUAUCAGUCGUGCUGGCCAGUUAUGCUCGAAACAUUUGGGAAAUCACGCUGACGCUUGGUCUUAUGCAAGGAGUAUGCUCGGCUUUUCCGUUGACAUUAGGUAGCGUCCUCGUGACCCGUUAUUUUGAUCGCUAUCAAACGACUGCCAUUGGAGUGUUUCUAUCUGGACCUGCUAUUGUCUCAAUGGCGUUAACUCUAGUAAUGCAAGCAAUUUUAGACGAAUUUGGUUUGCAAUGGAGUCUUUUAUUGCUAUCUGGUCUCACUGCUCAAUCUAUCCCUGCCGCAUUACUAAUCAAAACAAUUGGACCCCCAGAAGAACAAACAGACCAAACGCAGAGGGGCACGAUAACCAAAAAGCCGGUACACCUACCAAUGUCAAAGAGUGCAUCGUUUACAGCACUUACAUCUAGUAAGACAUCGGCUGGGCGAACCGGUUACACAGACUACCACACCAAGAAGAAAGUACCAAAAAUGGUUUUGAGACAACUUAGAAGAAAUAAGGUUUGCCGUGACACGCCGCGGAUCGCUGAAGCUGGCGAUGCUGUAUUGUCGUACAUGGUCGAGAGAACUGGUCGAAAAAGGAACUCCGAACGCUCUGGCAAGCCUCCAGACACCUUUACGCUCUUACGGCUUAGAUGGUUUUAUGCCUUGUUGGCAGUAACCGUGGGGUUUAUUUUCGUUAACACGACUCUCCUCAACCUCAUCGUGGCUUUGGCACGCGAUAAGAAAGUAACGUCAGAUGUUGCUGGGCGCCUCGUCGCAUUGCUUGCUUUCGGAGAUCUCUUGGGCAGAAUUUGUUCUGGUUGGAUAACUGAUAAAGAAUUUAUAAGUCGAGAACAUCUGAUGUUGAUUAACUACACAUUGCUAUCUGUCGGCCUUAUUGGGCUGGGAACAUUUUCUCAUCCAAUAACCUUGUGCUUCCUGGUCACGCUUAUUGGAUGGCUACUUGGGUCGUCCGUGAUUUUGUUUACUAGUAUUACAAGGAACCGGCUUGGCUUUAAGCUUCUUGCCCUGUCAUCUGGAUGGUAUUUCUUUUUCGGAGGCAUAUUGGCCCUUACUCGUCCGCCAAUGAUUGGUUAUUUCCAGUAUACGAUCGGUUCGUUUGAUCCCAUUAUGUAUUUAAUGGCAGCUGUAUUGCUUGUGUGCGCAAUACUUUAUAUCAUCGCACUGUGGUUUGACAAUGAGGAGUCGCCGAAUGCCCUUCAACUCGACCAAUGGGAGUUUAGCGUAGACGAAGAACUGGAUAUGCGUUGGGGUCGAGACCGAGCUACAUCAUUCACAUCAUCGAUAGCCUCGCUGUGAGAACGAUGCACUCGAUCUAAUAGCAAAACACUUCUGUCCUUAGGUCACACCUUCAAUUAGGACCAUGUCUGUUUUCUUGGGACGAAGUUACAAGACGGAGUGCUGUCAUCGGACAGGCAAAUAACGGCGUUAUGUCUCAUCGGUGCAGAAAUCGAUAUCGAUGUGAAUCACGAGCAAUGUUCCGGACGGCCGCGAGAAGCAGACGAUGAUAAACAGCGGCGUAAUCAGUUUUACGAGCCCACAGUACCUUGUAUAUCAGUCGACACUACCUUGAAUCACCUUUGCACAGUAGGAAAGAUUUUACAAGCAGGAAGCCAGGUCAUGCGCACAUUUAGAAGCGUCAUUGCCAAUCGCUUGAACAUAUGCAUAUGCUUGUUUGAGGGAAAAAUUUUUUUUCUAUAAAACUGGUACCAGAGACGACAAUGUUUUGUAACAACAUGAUACACAACAGACAUAGAAUAGGUACCUAAACCCUGUACGACUUGUAUUGAAAAAUUUCGUCAUAUUGAAAUGGGCUGUUUCACUAAGAGCUUUUUAUUUAGAGCAAUAGAAUGGCGCAUGAAGACGGGGCUCGACUCAUGUCAUUCAACAGGGUCGGGUAAUCGACAGAAAGUGUCUGUGGAGAAAAAGGCCAACAUAAGGCUGGUCUUGUUCUAUGACAGGCUGCGGGAUGUCUCAUGUGGCUUUCAUGGCCUGGGCGACCUUUGAUAGACAAUAAAUAUAAAUUCUGUCCAAACCUCGCUUUAUCGUAUUACACCAUUUUGGAAUUAUAUAACAUGGGCGGAAGACGAACGAUUCAAAACAACUAACAGGAGCAUGAAGAUGGAUUUAUCGACGGACCACCUUUACGUAUGCCUCAUUUGUUCGUUAACAGAUCCAUCUGAUGUUCAAACGAGAAAAGAAGCUAAAAGAAUAAAUUAUUUUUGUAAUAGUAAUUAGUCUCUUUCGAAUGUCUGAAACGUUUAAAAUCAGCUGAAAAACAAAGUUUGCUUUUGCUUGAUCUUGAAUAUAAGGUGUUAACCAAUAAUAUCUUACGACCUUGUGUCAUAUAUGAAAAAUAAUCCCAAUAAUUACUGAUUUGCAAUAGAAGUCAUUAUAUUAUUGUAUUAUGUAUAAAAUGUUUCCGGUAUUAAAAGCAGCGGUCUAUGCAUUUUUAAUGCAAAGAGAAAGCCUUCGGUUGUGGCUAUGUGAGAUGUUCAUCAUCACCUUACUUUGCAGACUUGGAUUUGAUGUCCACAUGACGACAUCCUAGCAGACUGAAGGUACACUGUUUGAAAUGCACGCCAAUACUUGCCCUUAUUAGAAAGCUUGUUACACUAAAAAGGUGGUAAAGGUACCUUCAUUCUAUCAAGAAAGUUGUAUCGUAACUUCUGUUGGUAACUCCAAUGAAUACAAUUUCUUCCCGAGUUAGCCAUUUACAAUUUCAAAAACUUCUCCAAUAUUCUCAAGUGUUUAUUUAAAGGUUCGAACAAAUCGCAUCAUUGUAAUUGAUGUCUGUGAGGUAUCAUUGGUCUUGAGUGUCGGCUGCAGAUGUGCCGAAUGUCGAAACAUAUAAAGAGAACUGAAUAUAUCACGAUCAAUUAACCGUUUGAUUGCUAAAUGUGUCACAGUGAAUAGCCAGAAAUAAUGGUUCGCAACUUGACAACCACACGUACGAUUGUUUUGUGUUCACAAUUCUGUACAUAACUGAGGUUUGCUGAAGACUAAAGUGCUCUCGUGAGCAUGAGCUCAACAUGAGUUCCACUUAGUGGUUCCAAACCGGGAUACGGAAAGAAAGAGAGCGCUAUUCGGGCCACUUCGACUAUAUCCCGUCAGCGGUAACCAGCCUUCUGAAACAACGGCGGCCCUAACGUGGAGUAAUAUGGAAUUCUCUUUUAUAUCGCACAUGACCGCCUCAUCGAUUUGCAUCUCUGAUGCUUACGACUGGGAUCGUCUGGAAGAAGAUUUGUAAAGAUAUAGCACUCGUCUAUAUAACUGAGUGGCAAUCAUUCUUUUCGUAUCAUCAUCCCAUAUGAUGCUUGGUAGGGUAAAUGAACGUAUAUCGACCGAGUAUUCGUCUUAAUAUUUAGCAGUGUCCCGCAUAAAUUAUUAAUCUUCGUACUAAACCUCCCAAUUAGCAAAGACGGAUGUAUCGGCAGGACGAAUAAUUAUUACGUUUAGAUGAUACGCUUGUAUCUAUAUGAAUUUGUCGGCAGUAAGAAAAACAAGAAAAAAAAGUGAUUGCUUUUAUGUUGGUAUGAUCUUUUUUAAUUGUAGGAUCUGCCAUAUGAAAACCUUCAGGACCAACAUUUUAUGCAAGAAACGCUUAUUAUUUAUACCGUCUCAGUCACGACAAAAGGUCCAAAAGUUAAGAAUUCUUAUAUUUAUCUAGUGCUUUUAUAUGCUUCCAUGCUUAACCUUUUGACGUACGCAAGCCUAUUUGUAUUAAAAGUAGAUGUCCCUAAGCAGACUUUAUAUCCGACACUAAAGCAGGGGUCUACGUUUGCGAGUUUGGAAUUCUUCUGAUAGGUUUUUGUACGUAAUCUAAACGGAAGCUACUGGUCGGUAGCACAGUAAAAAGGCCAUUCCAUCGGCCCGUUUGGGACUGACAUGACGGAAGUCUAACCCGUAACAAUUUUUUACAUGAUAUGAAUGCCAUGGAAACGGUUACCAAAUGUUCCCUUGGAUACUCUACGAAAAGAACUGAUAUAAUUAUAAUAAUAAUAAUUAUGUUCUUUGACAAGAAAUUACUUUGUCGUUCUCGCACGAACACUAGGCUUAUACGUAGCUUCAAAGCCCUCCAGGUUUUUGAAUGUACAGUUACUUGAGUUUUAUUUCAUGCUAAUGAAUAUACAUUCAGACCAGCGGAGCUCAAAUGUUUAUAACCUGAACUAUUAAGGACUUGUUAAUCAAUGGCCAAAUAAUGCGUCCGCUUAAACAAAGUGGAAAUAGCAACUUUUAUGCUCAUUUUACCCCAGCAUGUGGAAAACAUUUUAUUAUUCAUCAUUAAUGAUAAUAAUAUUGGCCUUUAUAUUUUACAUGCUUUUAAUUCAAUGGAAUAUUUCGUAACUCACUUCCAGAAUAGGGGUUAUCACAAUUCUGUUCUCUGACAGAAACUAAUUAAUUUCUGUGGAUUAAGACGACACCUCUUUAAUCUUCAGCUAGUAAAUUGGAAAAAAUUGUCUCUGUAUAUGUAUAUAAAUCCAUUACAAUAUACAUAUAAUAUAUAUAUAUAUUGUAAUGGAUUUAUUAUUAUAAGGUAAAUGUAUGAACAAAUGCGCAUUUACAUCUCUAUAAGCAUGGGGCAAAAAUGCUGUCAGACGCUCGGUUCCUCUAGCCAGCAACGAAAGUAAACUAGUCCACCUCAAUAUGUAUAUCUAUAGGAUAAAGACAAAAUGACGUAACUAGAUAACUAUUGAAUUAAAAUAUCGCUAACUAACGUAAAAAAGUCUUUUUCACCCGUCGGCGAAACGUGUUAUUUAUCAUAUUAAACCAAAUGUAGCACAACUCGAUCAUUUCAUCCAUCGGUGUCUUUCGACAACUUUGUCAGUUUUUCUUUCUUUUUAUACAUCGCUUUUUCCGACUUUUUGUAUUCGUUACCAUCGCUGAUUUUCUGCUUUAAUGUUGUCAGUAGUCAAACAUCAUGGCCACUUCAUUUCUGGUAUUUCAAUUAUUUUUACGCUGGUUGAUGUUGACGGUUUUGCUUCUCUUUGUCGCUGUAGAAUAUGUACGGCAAUGUACUGAAUGCUGAUAUUUGGCCUGUUGCUUGCUAUUGUCGGCCUUAUAGUAUUAUUGUCUUAUUUUUUUACUUUACAGGUCCUUCAUUUAAAAGUAGCAGACUUCGUAUAAUCAGCCUUUCUGUAGAUCACCUCUCUCUCUCUCUCUCUCUCUCUCUCUCUCUCUAUAUAUAUAUAUAUAUAUAUAUAUAUAUAUAUAUAUAUAUAUACGAUCUUUAAUUUUGUCGUUCUAUUACUGUCAAGUUUUCGCCAUUCUCUGAUUUUUGUCUUCUUUUUCUCAUGUGGCCCCGUUCCUUUCGUUUCUUCGCUGUACUUAAAUGUUUAUUAUUAUCAGCAUUAUCUUUCAUCUCCUAUACUCCAUUACUUGAAUCACUUAUAAAAAGAGGACAUUCCAUCAUUGUGUCUUAGAUUAUUAUUAUUAUCGUUAUUGUCGAUAUCUUUAUUUAAUCAAUGUCAUUACCUUGAUCUUUUUCGAACGUCGUCAUCAUCAUUUUGGGGUAAAGUACUAUGCUCUGUUACCCCAUGCUUCAUUUCCUCUUUUCAUCAUCAUCUUCAUUAUUAAGAUAAUUAUUAUCAUAAGGUGAUUUUCAUCAUUUUGUUACCAUCACUUUUUCAUCAUUCCAGUGCUCUUCUCUCGGUCAUCCACAUUCUUUGAAUCGCACCUUGUUUUUACCAUAAAAUUCUAAUAACAAUACACAUACAUUUAUCUUUGUUCCGUUCUUUUCAACUUUCUUCGGUCUUCGUUUACUGCUCGUCGUGAUUUAGCAUAGUGUCAUACUGUUUCGCUUGUUUUCGUUUUUGUGUCUCUGUCAAAUGGGGCACCAUCCACCUCCCGCAUCUAUUUGUGAUCUAUUUGUGUCCCCAUCCUGCCCCUAUUUGCUGCACCCCUCUUGUUGUAUCCCUCUUACCGGUCUCUUUUCCACUAGUUCUGUCUUUGCCCAUUUUACUGCCGUUAAAGUCUCUCUAAGCAUUUACUAGGCAGCUGUUCGGUUUUCUAUAUCUUAUCAACUCUAUUUAGGUCCCUAUUGGCCUUUUUUCAUGACACGCUGGCCGUUCGUGAAAAUGGCAAUGUUUUCGUUCUCACCCGAUUUUCCCAUGUUGGCAUCUGCUGUGACCCCCCACUUGUCGGCGCCGACGUCCCUCGCACUUCGCCCAUCUGUAUACUUCUCCUGUCUUGCGUUUACAUAUUUUUCGCUAUUACACAUUCUCCUAGAUCAUCUAGUUCAAUCCAUUAUUCGUAAUCAGGAUCAGUCGCGUCACUGUUAAUACGACCAAUCAAUCCUUUUUCAGUUCGUCGACAUCAUACAAGCAUUCUUUACCUGCUGGGUACUCUCCUGCCCGCGUUGUUUUUUUUCGCACACAAACACACACGCACACGCACACACAUAUAUAUAUAUAUAUAUAUAUAUAUAUAUAUAUAUAUAUAUAUUAGGUUAUUACUACAUUUGUUCUGUCUCUCUGCUGCUGUUAAAGUUAUUCUUUGCUAGCGUACAACUACUGUUAGCGCUGUUACAGUCUGUCGUUAUUAUCAAGUACAAAUGGUAGUAGCAGUGCUGCCAACGGUACCCUCAUGAUAGUGCGGUGUAAAGAGUUUGCCUGUUAGAUCUGAGGGCACGUAGUGGUCCGAAUUCGAAGCCAAGGAUAAAUACACAUUGCUUAAUGUUGGAAAAGCCAUCUGUCUGAAGGAAUGCUUAGGUACAGAACGUUGAACUCGAGACGCGUUUUUAUAGCCGAUGGUGCCGAGCGACAGAGGUUUGCACACUACAUUUUUUUCCUCUUUGAAGUUUGACGUAACGUAAGUAAUGUAUUUAUAAUUAUUUAUUUUAUUAUUAAUCAUGAUGUUAUAAAGAGGUACGCGAGAGUCAUACACGGUGUACUAGUACGGAAAUAACGUACACUCGUAUCUGCCUGUCUGUUGAGUGGAUUGCUCUGGCACUCACCGUAUCCAGGUAGCUAAACUGUUCCCUAAUUUCCUAUUAAAAGUAACCGAAUCCAUUUGAUAGAAGAAUUCCACUUCACAGUACGACUUAACAUUUUUGUGGAUGAGACACGACAUGCAUCAUGCAAAUAGGAAACACUUUUAUUUAUUAAAAGACUCUUUAAUUAAUUAGUUGCUUAUAAUUAUUUCCGUUUUGAAACUUCUUUAUUCUAUUCACUCACAUUCGCCGUACCCACUAUUUGUAUGUUGUUCUUAUGCCAUUCGUGCUUAUAAACUCAGGUGUCUCUGCUGGUUGGGAUCUAAUUGGGAGACCGUGGACUUUAUAAUUUGUGUUCUUAUUUGUUACUGUUGACGCUCAGCCGACUAGGUAAUUUAUGUUCAGCCUUCCAAUAAUCAAACAGUGGCUCUCGUUCUUCGUUUUAGCUUCAGACAAAAAAAGCUCUGCUUACAUCCCAUUUAAGUUUCCCCUCAUUCAGUCAAUCGAUACUAUGCACAAAUAGUUGUAUGUACUAUGUUCUGGUGCCAGUGACCAUAGGAAAAGGCGGCAGACCCAUCCAUCCAAAUGUUUCAUUCUCAACUCUGAUUUAAUCUCGCAACUUUUUUGUAACUGAGUUUCAUCGGCUUCUACUGGCUUCUGCCUUUUAUUCUAGUUUAGCAGCAUCUGCUGUCUGCAGGAAUUUCUACUCAAGCGCUUCACACGGUUCCUAUUUGAUAAUAAUAAUGAUUGACUUAUUGCUAUCGAAAACUUAAUCAUGCCUCUUGUUCUUGAUGUUACAUCCAUCGAAAGAUCCUUUACAAGCCCUCUAAAUAAUCUGAAACUACUAAAUGAUUAGGGGAACGUUAUAUUAAAUUCGAAAAUAUUACAACUCGAAGGUUUCGUUUUACCGCUAGCAUGAAUUCAUAAUAAGUGUGUCUGUAUACCAGAAAGCCUCUAUCGAUGCAAAUGUCAACGAGCAAGCUCCGUAUGUUAUUUAUCGCAAGGUAAUAGAACAAGGAGUUCAUGUCCUACCAUGUUGAUUAUUGUUGUAGAUGGUGGUGCUGUUCAUCUCUUGUCGUCAGUUCAAAAAGGCGUCGUUCAAGCGAAAUUCGUAAAAUUACGAUUUGGCAAUCAAUAAUAAAUAUUUUUUGUAUGGUAUCUGAUGACUAAGGGCUGAGUUUUAUGUUUUUUUUUUUAUUUUACGACUACCCCCAGCGGUCACUCAUUAAAAAAGUCAUAAUGAUAA